Long non-coding RNA from Cyclopterus lumpus (lumpfish), 421 nucleotides. RefSeq lists it as uncharacterized. The transcript is spliced from 2 exons. Lineage: Eukaryota; Metazoa; Chordata; Actinopteri; Perciformes; Cyclopteridae. The record is from RefSeq and is a predicted model, not a curated record.
UUCUAUAUAAUUAUUAUGGCCAGGUUCACAACUUUUGUCCAAAUGGAAGUAGCUAUUGUAAGAACCUAUUAGAUUGUUUCUCAUGAAAGUUGCAUUCACAUCUAUUCCCGGUCCUCGGAGGAUGAACCCUGCAGACUUUUGGUGAACCCCCGAGUCGUCCCCUUGUGCAACCAGCUGGUUGACGAUUUACUUUCCACAACUUUCGGUCAACACCUCGGUUUGUCCAGUACUUCACCAUCAACACGCUGCAAAGCGCCCAAAGGGACUUAUAAAGGACUCUAGACUAGGAAGCGACGUGUCUGAUCUCCUGCUCAUCUUUCAGGGCGUACCGGUGACCUUCAGAAGCUCCGGCGUCACGACAGGCCUCACUUACAGCUGUGAUUCCCGGGAACCAAACAUCCAAAACAUCCAUCAUCCGGGG